Molecule: ribosomal RNA, 253 nt
Filed under: uncultured bacterium
Lineage: Bacteria
Description: partial 16S ribosomal RNA
Rfam family: Bacterial small subunit ribosomal RNA
Source: RNAcentral
UACGUAGGGUGCAAGCGUUAAUCGGAAUUAUUGGGCGUAAAGCGCGUGUAGGCGGUUUUUUAAGUCUGAUGUGAAAGCCCUGGGCUCAACCUGGGAAGUGCAUUGGAUACUGGAAGACUUGAGUACGGGAGAGGGUAGUGGAAUUCCGAGUGUAGGAGUGAAAUCCGUAGAUAUUCGGAGGUACACCGGUGGCGAAGGCGGCUACCUGGACCGAUACUGACGCUGAGACGCGAAAGCGUGGGGAGCAAACAGG